This 253-nucleotide ribosomal RNA is filed under the name uncultured bacterium. RNAcentral's name for it is "partial 16S ribosomal RNA". It matches the Rfam family "Bacterial small subunit ribosomal RNA", at positions 524 to 776 of the family's 1533-position model. The record is from RNAcentral.
GACGAAGGGGGCUAGCGUUGUUCGGAAUUACUGGGCGUAAAGCGCGUGUAGGCGGUUGUUCAAGUCAGGUGUGAAAGCCUUGAGCUCAACUCAAGAAAUGCACUUGAUACUGGAUGACUAGAGGACCGGAGAGGAUAGUGGAAUUCCCAGUGUAGUGGUGAAAUACGUAGAGAUUGGGAAGAACACCAGUGGCGAAGGCGGGUCUCUGGACAGUUCCUGACGCUGAGGCACGAAGGUCAGGGGAGCAAACGGG